This 714-nucleotide ribosomal RNA is filed under the name Triticum aestivum (bread wheat). Its description in RNAcentral is "partial small subunit ribosomal RNA". Lineage: Eukaryota; Viridiplantae; Streptophyta; Magnoliopsida; Poales; Poaceae. The record is from RNAcentral.
AUGUCGCCGCCUCUCGAGCUCGACUACAUAGGCCUCUCGGCCGCCGCCGGCGGCCGCCCGGACGACGACCUGAAAGGCACCGAGCUCCGCCUCGGACUUCCCGGCUGCGAGUCCCCGGACCGCCGCCCGGUCGCCGCCACCACCACACUCGACCUGCUGCCCGCCAAGGGCGCCAAGCGAGGGUUUUCGGACGAGGUCGUGCCGCCUGCGCCGGUUUCCGCCGCCGGGAAAGACAAGGACGCGUCCGGGGAUGAGAAGGACAAGAAGGUCGCCGCCCCGCCGCAGCCUGCUGCCAAGGCUCAGGUGGUGGGAUGGCCACCAGUCCGCAGCUAUCGCAAGAGCACGAUGGCAACCACCACCAACCAGCUGAAGAGCAGCAAGGAGGAUUCUGACACGAAGCAGGGGCAAGAGUUUCUGUAUGUCAAGGUCAGCAUGGAUGGUGCGCCUUACCUGAGGAAGGUUGACCUCAAGACAUACAAGAACUACAAGGGCAUGGUUGUGGGGCUAGGGAAAAUGUUCAUUGGCUUCAGGACAGGGAAGGAUGGUGAAUAUGUGAUGACUUACGAAGACAAGGAUGGAGACUGGAUGCUGGUUGGUGACGUCCCAUGGGAGAUGUUCACCGAGUCUUGCCGGAGGAUCAGGGUCAUGAAAAGUUCAGAUGUGAUUGGACUUGGAGUUACAAGGGCAGGGGUCAAGUCCAAGAAUAAGAACUAA